RNAcentral lists this long non-coding RNA (245 nucleotides) under Gossypium barbadense (sea-island cotton). RNAcentral's name for it is "long non-coding RNA (GBAR_LNC016539)". The record is from RNAcentral. Lineage: Eukaryota; Viridiplantae; Streptophyta; Magnoliopsida; Malvales; Malvaceae.
AAACAACUUGAAUCAUCACCGAGGCGAGUUUGUAUCAGUGCUGGUCCUGAACGUCCUACCGAUGGCUGAGGUCUGGCAUGUGCUGCGGAUACUCCACAGCUCGUGUGAGUAGCAUCUUGUAGCUACGUUCCUACCCACAGCUCGUGUGAGUAGACCCAUAUUCACAGCUCGUGUGAGCAUUCUGAUUCACAGCUCGUUUGAGCAUAUAUGUACAAGAAUUGACAGAUUGCAGUUGUAUGAGUUAG